RNA transcript from Macrosteles quadrilineatus (aster leafhopper), 7130 nucleotides. RefSeq lists it as uncharacterized. Lineage: Eukaryota; Metazoa; Arthropoda; Insecta; Hemiptera; Cicadellidae. The transcript has 8 exons. The record is from RefSeq and is a predicted model, not a curated record.
GAGUUGAUCGAGUUGUCCUGUUAUUUCGUUUCACAAUUUUUCUUAUUUGGUUUAAUGGAAAUAAUUUGUAUUAUUUAUAAUUUCAUUCUAAAUUUCAAUCCAUUUUAUCCACGUAUAUGUGAAAUUUUAAAUCUGCUGAACGCUAAACAUAAUGGACAUUGAAGAAGGUGAAAUAUUAAUUUCAGAUGUUUCAUCUGAUGAAGACAAAGAGUGUCAACCUCAACCUUGCAGCCGUGAUAGAUUUCGUGUCCUACAAGAUAGGCCUUUUUAUCGUUAUCACAAUAUCUCCCAAUCAAAUUCUAUUUCUUCACCCCAAGAUUUGAAGAGGCUACACAAUUGCAGCGAGGAUAGUUUUUGCCGUAAAACAUUUAGGGUCUGUCUGGUAAAUCCAACUUCUGAAAGACAGUACAAUAACAGGUUUAGAAAUAGGCGUGGAUCUAUCAGAGAUGGAAAUGUUUCCAAUGAUUUUGUGUCAAGAACAACAAACCAAAAACAGUUGUCAAGGCCUAAUUAUAAGAGCUAUCCCGAUCAUAAUCGUAAUCAUGAAAGUCACAAAUCUAAAAAACGGAAACGAAAAAGGUUUGGAAAGAAUAGGCCUACACCAGACAACUCUCAAUAUCAAUAUCAUUGUGAGAGUCGCUCAACUGUUACUUCAGCUACUCAAUUAUCAUCCAUACCUAGUUCAACUGUCGUAACUCAUGAAAAUACUUCACUAAUGCAAAAACUGAUCACUUCAGGCUUAGCCAAGCCACCAAAUGCAACUGAGUCUAGUUCAGAAAUGGAUAAUGUUAUUAAGAAGGAAAUUACAAUCAGCGAUAAUGUUGAGAGUAAAGAUUACAGUGAUGAUAGUGAAAUUGAAGUAAUCAUACCUCCCAAAAAAAUUCCACCUUUAGUUACUUUAGAUUCAGAUGGUGAAGAAAUGGAACAGUUAUCACAAAGUAACCCUGAAAAAGACAAGAGUUGUACAAGCACUCUUGAUGAUAACCAGAAUCCUCCAUUGAACGUGACUCCUGCUACAAAUGAAGAGACUGAUGUAAGUAAUAACUUGGCACUCAACAAAAACGGAGUUAAUGAAAACCUUGACUGUAUUGAAGUAACAGCUAAUGGCUCGCCCAUCAGCCAAGUAUUUGAGUCCAAUGAUUCUCCAGACUCGUUAUCCUCAGAGUUGUGCAUGUCACUGUCAUAUUCCCCCUCCAGCCCAUCAUCAGUGAGUGGUUGUGAGAAUAACAUAACCAGCAAUCUGAACCGCCAAUCUUCAGUGGGCAACAACAAAAGACCUGCUCAUUUUUCAAAAUUUGAAAGUGACACCCGUAUAGAUUGUUCUUCCGCUAGUAGUGAAGAAAUUAGUUCAGAAAUUUGGUUGGACCAAACUGAAAAUCAAAAUUCUGGAAAUUUAGAAAACAAUCACUCUCCUGAAAGUCAAAUUGUUAAUCAAAAGGAGACUGACAAUAAAGCAAGGGAAAGGAGAAAUAGUUUGAGCAAUGAAAAUUCUCUUUCAGUUUUGGUGGAAGAUUUCAUAAUGAUGUCAACAACUACGGCAAAGGAACAGCAGCAGGACAUUGUCCUUAUUGGUGAAUCAAAUGCAACCGGACUUGAAACUAAUGGAAGUGUUUCAAAUGAUGAUCAGGAACCAUACAGCCCAUCUUCAGAAUACAGUUAUAAACCCGUCAAUGACAAAAAUAGUAAAACAUUCUCUACUGGUAAAGAAUCUACUUCGUAUCUAAUUCCAAAAUUAACUUUAGGUACAUUUAUCCCUAAAGAUAACUGCAUUGAAACAAUUACUCCUGGUGCUCCCUCAAAACUAAUUGUCAAACCAGUUGAGCCCAGAAAAGAUCAAGUAAAUCUAGAUGAGAAUAAUCGCAAACAACAUAAUAUUGAUGAUAAUGAAAAUGAUGAAGAUAAUGUUUCCCAGCUUAGGAUGAUUGCAUUACAAACCAAAAAGAAAACAACGCAAGAGGAAACUCAAUCAGAUUCUAAUGAUAAAAGUACAUCUCAAACAGCUUUAGACCAAAUUGACGAAGAGAUUGCUGAGCCAGAAUCCUCAGAAGCUCCUUGUGGCUUAAAUGAAGAUGACGAUGUUUUACAAUUACGUGUUGCUGCACUGAAAUCAGCUGUCAUGAAAAAGUACGGUGAGCGCAAGAAGAAAGGACUGGUUGUUAAAAAACGGAAGAGGGCUCCUUCUGGAUUUGGGGAUGACAUAUUUUCUGUUCAUGAAAGCAACACAGCUCUGGACCAAGAAAACACAACACCUCUUUCACCAAAUAUAUCGUCAACUUCUGUUCAAGGUGAAGAGGAUAUGGAGUUGGCUGAAUCAGAUCUUGGAGAAGAUGUUAUUGAAGAGCUUCCUGAAACUUCAGUUGUUGAAAAACCAAAACUGUUUGCACCUGUUCAUUUAGGCUUAAAACCCCUGUAUGAUAGUUCAGUGACACAUUCAGUGAAUUCAUGCUCAGUUGUACCACCUCAACCCUUGCCUCCAGGUGUUGAUGGUGACUGUCCGGAGAUGAUUGACCCAACAAUAUUGAGGUCAGUUUUACCUCCUCCCCCACCCCCUCCUCUUCUACGAUCACCUCCUCCUUUAACAAUUACAUCAAUGCUUCAUCCUCCACCCCCACCCCCUUUCCCCUCUCAUAGUAAAUCUGAAGUUUUAGGAGAAAUAUCAAAUCAACUGAAUGUUGAAGAAGAGUUUGCUGCUUCCAGUUCUCUUUUUGGUAAUCGUUCUUUUGACAAUGAAUCAGAUAUGAAUCAACCAAACUUCAGUAAUCGAAUGAAAGUUGACAGUUCGAAGAAGUCUGAUUCUAUAAAAACUAGUUUGAGAAAUAAUUUAAUCACAGUUGAUGUUGUAAAAAAUGUACCAAAGAAAGUCCCCCCGCCAAAAAAAAAGAGGAGGAGGAAGGUUAGGAAAGAAUAUAUAAAAUUAAAGGCUGAGCUUGAUAGAGAGUUAGAUUUACUUUGUAUUACCAAACCUCCAGGGAAAUCUACGACCAAAUCAGCUGGUAGUGCAAAUUUAACCAAAAAUAAACAGGGUAGGCCUAGUGUUAGUUCUGGAUAUGGAAAGCAUUGUGAAACCAGUCCAGAAAAGAUUACGCCUAAAGAUUACGAGAGCUCAUCGCCCAUUGUUUUGUGCAAAACAGAUUUGCCUGCAGAUAAUUGGACAGAUGGUGAUAACUCAGGAAACGUUUUACAAAAACAACAACACACAGGGAUUGACGCUGAAGAAAAUUUUAACUUCUCUGAUGAGUCCCCCAUGGCUGACAAUGAUAUAGAUCUUUCUGACAUGAUUGUUCUAGACGAAGUUGGAAUGUCUCCUGAACAUAAAUCUAAAUAUGAUAGCACACAUGACUACAGUUUUCCUUAUGAAGAUGAGGACGAGGACACUUUAAGGAUCCGUGCAUUAACAUCAUUAUCUCCUAAACCUCUCUUUAAAACACCAACCACUACUCCCCCUCAGAAUUCAUACCCUCAGACUGAACCUUAUGGUAGUUACCAAGGCAAUAAGGAAUACACUCAAAGGAAAAUAUUAGCUCCAGGAAAACCGAAAGAAGUUAUCAAGCGAAGAAAAGUCGUUGGUGAAACCUCAAAAUAUCGACUCACUCGAAUGAGUAAUGAUCGAAGGAGUGUGCUUCAUGGGAAAGAGACAUUAAAAGUUGUCGUCCCAACGAAUUCUCAGUCCCAUGCACCUGUGGAACAGUCUUUGCCAGUUGUACAGAGAUUAGUGAUCAAUGUAAAUAAAGAUUCCGACAGUGAAGAAGAAUGCGAAUGGACCAGAAAAAUACGAAUACAGGAAACCAAUACACUGCCACCUCUAGGACCGGUGGUAGACUAUGAGCUUGAACGCAGUAUAGACGAAUUGUUGAUGAGAGCUCGCAACAGCUCUGAAAACGUAUCUUCUAGAAAAAGUCAAGAUGUAAGAGCUCAAAGUUUCACACAGAAAAGAGAUCGUAGAAGUAGUACUGAUGAUGACUCGCUACAUGGCACCCCAAUGAAGCUGUUGCCCAUUGAAAAACAGGAAGAAUACAAACGUUUGAAAGCUAUUUUAGAACAGAAGGAGAGGGAAAGAAGGUUGAAGAGAAUUCCUAGGAAGGCAACAGAGACAUCUAAAUCACUUUUAAAACAGGUUCUUACGACAGAAAACAACAAACAGAUUAAAGAGAAUUCAAACCAAAACAUCCAUAGUAGGCCUAAUAGUAGCCAUGGGGACCUGAAUUUGGAUGAAAGGAUAUUAGAAAAUUACGGCUCAAGUAACCCUAGAAAUGUGAAUGUUAAAGAAGACUCCAUAAGCUCAGGUUUUAGUGAUGCAGAUGAAAUAAUCAGUUCUUUCCACCAUGAAGAAAAUAUUGCAAGGAGACUAAAUUCAGACAGUCAUAAUGUUCAGAAUGAACAAUUGAAGUCCUCGGAUCAAAAAAUUUGUGUGCCGACAGUUAACCUUAUUACUGAUAGAAAAAUUGAGACGGAUUCAAAAAAUCUAGAUCAGUCCCAAAGAGCCACCAACUCAGACUCAGAUGAAAGCAGAUCAAAACGGUUAAGUGUAGACACAACAACAGCAGCUAUGAAAGAGAAGUCAGAAAACCUAAGCGGGCAAAGAAAAAUAGUUUCUUCAGUCCAGAAAAAUAAUGCCACAAAUAGAGAAAAUAUAUCUAGUUACGAGUUGGAAAUGAACAAAGAAAAUUCACCAAAAAUAUCUUGUGAAUCUCAAUCUAGUUCUACAGUAGGUAACUUUUCCACAACCGGGGAUUUCUAUUUCAGCCAAACUACGGCAAGCGCUUCUGGACUUUUUGGGCUGAAUUCCGGAGACAUAGAACCCUGUAGUAGAGUCAAUAAUUGUGACAAUGAAAAUAAUGUAUCGACUAAAGAAACGCUCAGUGACAAAGUGGGUGAUGUUCGAGAUUUUUCUCCUGAUUCUGGUAAAUCCUCUGUAGAACAUUUUAAUAGACAUCAGUUUUUGAAUCCAGAAACUAGAUGUGAAAUACAGGUGGAGGAACAGAACGCGGAAUCCAAUUCAACAGAAAAUAUUAAAGAAACUCCUGCCCCAGAAGAUUUAAAAGACUCAAGUCAAUCAGACCCAAAACCAUGUUCUCAGGAAGAGUUGGGAGCCAAAAAAUCAGAACUGCUUAGUGAAAGAUUUGGAUUGCUGGACGACCUGUCGGAGAUGACCGAGUCACUGGAUGAUCUGGACAGUCAACAGCGCAGGUUGGAGCAAGCGGUUGUAGACAUUAGCGAGCUGCGCAGAGCACUGCAUGCCGCAGAAGACUCUCUGCAUAAACAGCUGUUGGUGGCUAAAGAUAGCGAGCAGAGACUCCGUGAUACACAUUCUGCUGUCAAUGUGAGGUGUUCGAACAUCAUACAGCUGGAGACUACGCUUCACCGUGCUUCUUUUGAAAUCCCCACAACAGCUCAGAAAUUGAUGACCAAGAAAGUCAAACAAGUGAAGGAGAAAAUGGACAAAGUAAGAGAAGGGCGAAGUAUAAUAAAGUCCUUAAUUCACAAUCCAGACAUAACCAAAGAAGAAUUGACAGAAAUGCAUGCUAACCUGUUAGAGAAAAAUUCUGGAAAUUCGGAACCAGAUGUUGAAGAUUGCAACAUUUUGUGGCUACAGGAUCCAAACGAAUUUAUGCUGGACGAUUUGCCUUUAAGUUAUAGCUGUGAUACUGAGAUUCAAGAAACAAAUGUUUGUUCUAAUGUUCUCGUAGAAGGUCAAGUAUUGCAUCAUCUGAAGGUCAAAAGGAACUGUCAAAAGGAAAGAAAUGUUUCAGGCAUGGUUGAUUGUACCGCUUCAGAGCUAAUUCCUGUAAAUACUGUUACAAGCGAGGACACUGUGCGUUUUAAAACCUGUGAUACUUCAAGAAAAUACAAUUCAGAAAACAGUGCUACAACAUUUGAUGUUUCAAUUUCUUCUGAAUCCAGCCAGCUACAGUCACAAAGUUCUUUGCAAUCAAUAAUAAUAAGUAAACAUGCAGAAGAUUCAGGUAGAAAAUCAAAAGAAUGUACAAAUGAAGAGCUUACCACUGAACGUUGUGCAAAAUCUUUUGAUUCCGAAGUCACUGAAGAAACGGUGAAAAUACAAAAUUUAGUGAAAAAUAAUAACACAUGUAAUAAAAUCAAAGUCUGUGAUAAAACUAGGAACAUUCCAUCGAAUGAAAGUGGCUCCGGAAACUCUGGACAAAGGUGCCAUUCUAAUAAUUCUGGAUCAUCUAAAUCAAAGCUCAAGUACAAAUCCAUUCUUCAGUUCAGGCAUCUGGGUUCCAGUGCCGACAAGGGUGCCAAUGACAAAACCAUUCUGUGUCCUUACGAUUUGACAGGGAGAUGCCAAGAUAAAGCUUGCAAGUAUCAACAUCUCCAUUGACCCCUGUAAAUAUACUUUAGAGUUAAGACUUUUACAGUUAUUUAUUUUUCAUUAUUAACAUCUAAAGUCAUAUGAUUUGUUAUUGUAAACCAUUAUACUCUCCAUUCUUUAUAUGUAUAGUUUAUAUUGCAAGUAAUGUCAUGUUCAAGUUCCUUUGGUUUAGUUUGUUAUUUGUUGAAAUUAAGUUUGCAUUUACCAAGUUGGUGGAAACUUGAGUUGAUAAUGUUAAGAAUUCAUUUGGUACCGGUAAGUAAUUUGUCGGUUGCGGAGUGACACUAACUAAGUGCUUAUCAUGAAUUGCAUCAACUUGACCAUUUGCUUGAUGAGUUUGAAGCCUCUGUUUCAGAAGCAGUGGGCAUGACUGCUGUGGUUCCGCAUGAAUAAGGUUGGUCAAAGCUCGGUAGAUUAUUCCAAAGCAUGGACUUUAGUAUCACAUGCCAUAGCAAGAAAGUUCGGAAGAAGAAAAUGUUUGGUGUUCUUUGCAAUUAGACGGAAGAAUGACUUUAGACUAAAAAAGAUAUUAGUCGGUGCUCACUCCAACUCUAGUGUUCAAGAUUUUCGGUUCAAGUUUGCUAUUCAAGAAGUGAAGAACAAUUGUGCAAGAUGUCGGCUUGAACAAGAAAUUUUCUGUGUGAAUUAAAAGUGAGAAUCAAGUGUGGAACUCAUAUAAUUUUGUUACCUUGUACUCAUAAAAGUACAUUAAAUAUUUAAGUGAACUGCCUAAAUACUUCAGGCAUAUAUGUAAUAAAAAGCUGUCUAAUUUUAUACCAAUAAAAUUAUUUGUUUUGUA